CCUANGGGUGGCAGCAGUAGGGAAUAUUGGGCAAUGGGCGAAAGCCUGACCCAGCAACGCCGCGUGCACGAUGAAGGCCUUCGGGUCGUAAAGUGCUUUUCUGGGAGAUGAGAAAGGACAGUAUCCCAGGAAUAAGCCUCGGCUAACUACGUGCCAGCAGCCGCGGUAAAACGUAGGAGGCAAGCGUUAUCCGGAUUUACUGGGCGUAAAGCGCGUGUAGGCGGUUCGGCAAGUUGGAUGUGAAAUCUCCCGGCUCAACUGGGAGGGGUCGUUCAAUACUACCGGACUUGAGGGCAUCAGAGGAAGGUGGAAUUCCCGGUGUAGUGGUGAAAUGCGUAGAUAUCGGGAGGAACACCAGUGGCGAAGGCGGCCUUCUGGGAUGCAUCUGACGCUCAGACGCGAAAGCUAGGGGAGCGAACGGGAUUAGAUACCCCANUANUC
RNAcentral lists this ribosomal RNA (441 nucleotides) under uncultured bacterium. RNAcentral describes it as "bacterial SSU rRNA". It matches the Rfam family "Bacterial small subunit ribosomal RNA", at positions 338 to 795 of the family's 1533-position model. The record is from RNAcentral.